AUGGAUAGCUUAUUUGUUUUAUUGUAUAUACUUUGUAGUUUCAAUGAUGAGACAUAUAUGUCAACUAUGGGUGUUGGCUCCAACAACUGUCAUUGGUCUCAAACCAAUGAUGUGCAUUUAGAUGAUCAUGAGUUUGAGGUGGACGAGGAUGGUGAGGGUAUCGUCGAUGCACCGAAAGGAAGAGCGGGCAACUACACCAUGGAUGAAGACAUCUUGCUAUGCAAUACAUGGUUGCAAGUGUCUAGGGAUGCCACCGUUGGAGGGGAUCAAAGUAGAGAUAUUGGAUCCGGAUGA
This 294-nucleotide ribosomal RNA is filed under the name Triticum aestivum (bread wheat). Its description in RNAcentral is "partial small subunit ribosomal RNA". Lineage: Eukaryota; Viridiplantae; Streptophyta; Magnoliopsida; Poales; Poaceae. The record is from RNAcentral.